Long non-coding RNA from Saccostrea cuccullata (small rock oyster), 879 nucleotides. RefSeq lists it as uncharacterized. NCBI's taxonomy places the organism in Eukaryota, Metazoa, Mollusca, Bivalvia, Ostreida, Ostreidae. The transcript is spliced from 3 exons. The record is from RefSeq and is a predicted model, not a curated record.
UAUCAUGUCAACCCUGAUACACACUCACUCUCUGAUUUUAGAUGGAUAUGAUUGUUUAGUACGAUGGGCACAGAACCACCAAGAAGCUCUAUCCCCGGAGGCAGAACAAGUAUUUCAGGAAGCGAGCACUAUCAUGGAAACCCCUCAGGAUUUAUGGUUACAAUGCCUAGCCUUAUCACAUCAUGCGACGACCAUGGGGAGACUAGCUACCAUACAUUUUCUAUGUCGACAUAUGAAAACAAUUCUGCCCCAGAAAUGGUACGGACUGAACCUGACCCGUUAUUUCGGAAAGCCUUACAGUUUCCUGACCCAUCCCCAAGCGGCCAAAGUGAUUUUACUGUGGCAGGACAUAGAUGCGAUGGAGAAAGUAUGUAUUCAAUACGGAAUGAAAUACCUGGAAAUUUCACACAGGCUAGGAAAUCAGUGACUUUUAAUACCAGCCUCAAUCAAAUCUACGAAUUACCCCCCGAAGACCGGAGAAGUCCCUGGAUGCAAUUAGUAGCGGAUCGAAUACGAUUUCGGAGGAGAAUUCGACAGUUAGAAGCUUUGUUAGUUUUUAAGAAAUAAAAUAAAAAAAAUCAUGUAAUACUACAUCACUUGUUAUGUUAUUGUAUGACUUCAUCUUUAUACAGUCGGGUUCGGCGGCCAUGGCGAAUCUCGGCAAGAUUUUACCCCAGUGAAAAAGGCUUGUAAUCCACCGUUCCUCAACCUGGAAGAUAUGUUUUGUUCCUAACCAUCUAUAAUCCAUUCUCUAUGAAGUGAAGCCUGGCUGCUGGUCUUCCUUUGGAAAUACACAGUGAAUCAAUUAUGAUAAAAACAAAACAAACUUGAAUCUAAAAGUUUCAAUGAGAUAUCAUUUUAAUUUAUUUAUUUAAUUAU